UACAGAGGUCCCAAGCGUUGUUCGGAUUCACUGGGCGUAAAGGGUGCGUAGGUGGUGAGGUAAGUCGGAUGUGAAAUCUCCGAGCUCAACUCGGAAAUUGCAUUGGAAACUACCUUGCUUGAGGGUUGGAGGGGGACUGGAAUGCUUGGUGUAGCAGUGAAAUGCGUAGAUAUCAAGAGGAACACCAGUGGCGAAGGCGAGUCCCUGGACAACACCUGACACUGAGGCACGAAAGCUAGGGGAGCAAACAGG
This 252-nucleotide ribosomal RNA is filed under the name uncultured bacterium. RNAcentral's name for it is "partial 16S ribosomal RNA". It matches the Rfam family "Bacterial small subunit ribosomal RNA", at positions 524 to 776 of the family's 1533-position model. The record is from RNAcentral.